Melanotaenia boesemani (Boeseman's rainbowfish) is the source of this 631-nucleotide long non-coding RNA. RefSeq lists it as uncharacterized. The transcript is spliced from 3 exons. NCBI's taxonomy places the organism in Eukaryota, Metazoa, Chordata, Actinopteri, Atheriniformes, Melanotaeniidae. The record is from RefSeq and is a predicted model, not a curated record.
AUGAUACACACAGAAAAACACAGUCUACAUACACACAUGCACAGGGACCCUCCCACCUCCCUCUAGACUCCUGGACCCCAUCUGCACUCUCCUCUCUCCAGCCCCCUAAUUGCAUAUGCACAAAUGCAAAUGUAUAUUAAUUAAUUACUUGACUAAUUAGUGCAGUGGUAUUUUAGGGCGAUAAAUCAAGUGGAGAUGGGGCCGAGGACGGCAGGGCAGGAGGAGGGCUGCAUGGAGCAUCCACAAUGAACCCACACCGGAGGGAGUCUCCUACUCUACGAGUCUUGCAUGGAGGAUCUGCACAGCAGAGUUUUUGGAGAGAGAUGUUGCUUAAAAAUGCUGAAGAGGUGAAUAAGUGAGGUGUGCCAGGCCCCCACCAUAGGUACCCAUGGAGAUCUCCGGACUAAAAUAUUCAUUCUUGUUUGCUGGCCCAGACAGUGUGGUCCUAAUUGCAACAUCAGAAAGCUCCACCUCUUCUUCUUGUCUGGCUUGGCUGCAGCAGAGACAAACCUCAUCUGGGAGCAAGAUGCUUCUGGUGAGUGUGAGGCUCUGGAGUUUUUCAUCAGUUCCAGUGCCAACCCUACCCCUUGCUUGGCCAAGCUGAACCAUCUUGUGGGAUUUUUGGCUUUUA